UUGUAGCUUCUCAAAGAUGAUAUUAGGAAUUUCUGCUGCAGUCCUGAUCUACUUCUGCUGCCCUCCUAGAAGACAGUACUUUGAAAAAAGAUCUUGCAGGUCUCCUUGACUUACAAGGCCCAAAAAAACCCCAACAAGGUCUUCAAGGAUGAAAAGUGCUGAAGGCGGAGGCUUUACUUUCUUCUGCAGUGAAGCCCAGCCAAAGACCUCGUGGCUGGCACACAGGCUGUCCUGGGGCCACCACCAGCACACACAGCCAGCACCAGAAAAGGCAGGUCUGCUCUGGAUGCUGAUCAACAAUUUAGCUUUACUUGGAUGACUUGGAACAAUCCUGACUCUUUCAAGGCUGAGUGGAAAAAUGUUCCCAGCAUGUCUAAGGGAAGACCUCGAAGAUUUGUCUACAGUUCUUAUGGCUGGUGCAUCCCACUGUGCAUUUGAUUCCCACGUUUACAUUCUGAGCAGAUAGCAGUUAGCCUUCACCAGAAUACUUUUUUGCAAACCCAUCAGCAUAUCACAGAGCAAUAUUAAUGCUUUAAAGUGCAAGUCCCAGACACCCCAGCUCUGCUAGGAGCAAGCAGCAGGCUAAAGCAUCCAGUGGUAAAUAAGCUUAGCAGAUUCUUUGUAAAAAGUAAGAAAAGGGAAGCGUUGGAAUAAACCAACAAAAUGUUUGUGCGUCCAUUUGCCUUUGUAAAUUUGCUAGAAAGGGACACACGUGGCUUGCACAUAGCACUUUUCGUUUGUAAUUUGCAUGUCUCUAGUUUGUUUAUAUCAAUGUUUGUUUGUCUAAUAGAAGCUUAAACCUCCCUGCAAAACUUACCUCUCAUUCUUUAGGCAGCAAUGGGUGCCAUCGUAUCACCGCAACCCAAAUAAACA
Molecule: long non-coding RNA, 873 nt
Organism: Gymnogyps californianus (California condor)
Lineage: Eukaryota; Metazoa; Chordata; Aves; Accipitriformes; Cathartidae
Exons: 3
Source: RefSeq, a predicted model, not a curated record